RNAcentral lists this ribosomal RNA (255 nucleotides) under uncultured bacterium. RNAcentral describes it as "partial 16S ribosomal RNA". It matches the Rfam family "Bacterial small subunit ribosomal RNA", at positions 524 to 776 of the family's 1533-position model. The record is from RNAcentral.
GACAGAGGGUGCAAACGUUGUUCGGAAUUACUGGGCGUAAAGCGUGCGCAGGCGGUUCGUUUGUGUCGGCGGUGAAAGCCCCGGGCUUAACCUGGGAAUGGCAUUUGGGACUGCAAGGGCUUGAGUGCGGCAGAGGAGACUGGAAUUCCUGGUGUAGCAGUGAAAUGCGUAGAUAUCAGGAGGAACACCGAUGCGAAGGCAGGUCUCUGGGCUGACACUGACGCUCAUGCACGAAAGCGUGGGGGAGCAAACAGG